This 402-nucleotide ribosomal RNA is filed under the name uncultured prokaryote. RNAcentral's name for it is "bacterial SSU rRNA". It matches the Rfam family "Bacterial small subunit ribosomal RNA", at positions 355 to 774 of the family's 1533-position model. The record is from RNAcentral.
UAGGGAAUAUUAGAAAUGGACGAAAGUCUGAUCUAGCAACACCGCGUGUGCGAAGAAGGCCUUCGGGUCGUAAAGCACUUUUUGGAAGGAAUAGGAAGGAAUGUACUUCCAGAAUAAGUCUCGGCUAACUACGUGCCAGCAGCCGCGGUAACACGUAGGAGGCGAACGUUAUCCGGAUUUACUGGGCGUAAAGCGCGUGUAGGUGGUUUGGUAAGUAGAGCGUGAAAGCUCCUGGCUCAACUGGGAGAGGUCGUUCUAAACUGCCGGACUAGAGGAUGGUAGAGGGAGGUGGAAUUCCGGGUGUAGCGGUGGAAUGCGCAGAUAUCCGGAGGAACACCAGUGGCGAAAGCGGCCUCCUGGACCAUUUCUGACGCUCAGACACGAAAGCUAAGGUAGCAAACG